This 268-nucleotide ribosomal RNA is filed under the name uncultured bacterium. Its description in RNAcentral is "partial 16S ribosomal RNA". It matches the Rfam family "Bacterial small subunit ribosomal RNA", at positions 1234 to 1500 of the family's 1533-position model. The record is from RNAcentral.
CGUAAACAAAGGGAAGCGAGACCGCGAGGUGGAGCAAAUCCCAGAAAUAACGUCUCAGUUCGGAUUGUAGUCUGCAACUCGACUACAUGAAGCUGGAAUCGCUAGUAAUCGCGAAUCAGAAUGUCGCGGUGAAUACGUUCCCGGGUCUUGUACACACCGCCCGUCACACCAUGGGAGUCAGUAACGCCCGAAGUCAGUGACCCAACCUAUUAGGAGGGAGCUGCCGAAGGUGGGACCGAUAACUGGGGUGAAGUCGUAACAAGGUAAC